Molecule: transfer RNA, 74 nt
Filed under: Schistosoma mansoni
Lineage: Eukaryota; Metazoa; Platyhelminthes; Trematoda; Strigeidida; Schistosomatidae
Source: RNAcentral
ACUCAGUGGUCUAGAGGUUAAGAGUUUACUCGGAAGAUUGAAGGUCCAGGGUUCGAGUCCCUGUCUCGGAAUCG